Molecule: ribosomal RNA, 465 nt
Filed under: uncultured bacterium
Lineage: Bacteria
Description: partial 16S ribosomal RNA
Rfam family: Bacterial small subunit ribosomal RNA
Source: RNAcentral
CUACGGGCCGCAGCAGUGGGGAAUAUUGCACAAUGGGCGCAAGCCUGAUGCAGCCAUGCCGCGUGUAUGAAGAAGGCCUUCGGGUUGUAAAGUACUUUCAGCGGGGAGGAAGGGAGUAAAGUUAAUACCUUUGCUCAUUGACGUUACCCGCAGAAGAAGCACCGGCUAACUCCGUGCCAGCAGCCGCGGUAAUACGGAGGGUGGCAAGCGUUAAUCGGAAUUACUGGGCGUAAAGCGCACGCAGGCGGUUUGUUAAGUCAGAUGUGAAAUCCCCGGGCUCAACCUGGGAACCGCAUCUGAUACUGGCAAGCUUGAGUCUCGUAGAGGGGGGUAGAAUUCCAGGUGUAGCGGUGAAAUGCGUAGAGAUCUGGAGGAAUACCGGUGGCGAAGGCGGCCCCCUGGACGAAGACUGACGCUCAGGUGCGAAAGCGUGGGGAGCAAACAGGAUUAGAUACCCCUGUAGUC